UUGACCUCGGAUCAGGUAGGGAUACCCGCUGAACUUAAGCAUAUCAUUAAGCGGAGGAAA
RNAcentral lists this ribosomal RNA (60 nucleotides) under Usnea subantarctica. RNAcentral's name for it is "partial 28S ribosomal RNA". It matches the Rfam family "Eukaryotic large subunit ribosomal RNA", at positions 1 to 59 of the family's 3401-position model. Lineage: Eukaryota; Fungi; Ascomycota; Lecanoromycetes; Lecanorales; Parmeliaceae. The record is from RNAcentral.